Pelobates cultripes (western spadefoot toad) is the source of this 706-nucleotide non-coding RNA. The record is from the annotation of a GenBank genome assembly. NCBI's taxonomy places the organism in Eukaryota, Metazoa, Chordata, Amphibia, Anura, Pelobatidae.
AAGCCCUCGGGCAUAAAACGCACUGCACAGAUCGCAUCUCCCCGCACGAGCCCAUCCGGGCUGAGGGCCCCGAGGGACAAAGCCCCGUUGCAUCCCCCGCAUAGGUGGAGGCCUGCACGCCACAGGCGGCGAAACACCACUGCAGCCUCCAGACCUACCUUUUCAGGGAAGGACCCGGCCUAUAAAAGUCCCCGAGUCCGCGGUGAAAUGAUGCUGGCCCCACAACAAGCCUGGAGCAGGAGGGCAAUACCAGCAUGCUUCUGGCUGUUCACUGACACUGGCGACCACCGUUCUAAGCAGGCAGACAACGCCUCCAGAUCGGGCAUCGGUUGAUACAACACGGACUGACUCACGGAGAAGCCCAUAGCCCAUGAUCCUGCUAGUACCGUAGAGACCCUUUUGUAAUGUUUUAUUUUAUUUUAUUUUUUACUUAAUAUUUUUUCAUUCUAUUCUGUGUCCCCAUGCAAAUCACCUGGUGGACACUCAUGAUAUGCUUUACCUAAGUUUCACUUGUUUUGUGUUAACCCUAUGCUUUGGGCCUUUAUGCUCAUCGGAACAUUACCCAGCACAUUAUAAUGAUGAUCUAGAUAGAGAGCCAGCAGCCCUACUCAGGACUAGGAAUAACAGGCUUAGUUUUUUUUUGUUUGUUAGUUUUUUUUUUUGUUUUUUUUUUUCAUUACAUGUUACCUACAACAUAGACGUAUAU